Molecule: long non-coding RNA, 742 nt
Organism: Zingiber officinale
Lineage: Eukaryota; Viridiplantae; Streptophyta; Magnoliopsida; Zingiberales; Zingiberaceae
Exons: 2
Source: RefSeq, a predicted model, not a curated record
CUUAAAUGUCGAAACUUUCUUUUCCCCUCUCCUUUGCUAUCUUUCCUCGACGCUGACGCCGACAUCGGCAGGAAGCCGAUCGCACCAGCGUCGUUUGACCCACCAUCGGUUGAGCUUCUCUUCUCCUCCAUCGACGGAGCUCAUCCAGUAGAUGUUGUUCCUAUCGAAUCGUCGAUCGAGGCCCCUCUCCAACCGAUCCUCCGCCUCUGCCUCCCGAUCUUGCUGCAGCGCCUGAUCGAUUUUCCCUGUUACCCCUUCCUCUUGAUCUGAGUCGUCACCUCUGCACAUCUUGAUCUUGGCCGAGAGAAAAGAUUCAAACCUUAGUGACGAUGGGUUCGUGCCACUGUCCUCGAUCCAUCGCCAUUGGCCAGUUCUCCCUUAGCGAUGUUCCUGACCAUAGGCCGAUAGAUGUGCUGGCUGGCCGUAGGCUACACCUUCCCGAGCAUUGGUUUUGAUUUCCACCACGGCCGGAUGCGAUUUGAUGAAGCUAGAUCUUCACCAUGGGUGGUUGUGGUCUCUGUCGCCAGUUAGAUCAAGCAUCGCCUGAAUCUCAACACAGUGGACUUGUCGAUCGCUAUGAGGCGUCGCCGGAAGAGCUAGGUUGAUGCUGUUAGGAGAGAGUUCCAGUCGCUAGUCCCUUGUAGUCCACGAGGAUGGUUAUUUGUCUUUUGGUGUUCUUUUCUAGACUACGUUUGGACUUGUUCCAUUUUGGAUACUUUGGAUCUUGUAUGGUUUUGUUUUA